UCCGCCAUAUAAAAAGCGGUAACAGAGUCCAUUUGAUUUGUCCGAUUGGGUUAUUUUAUUCAAAUACGGAAUGGUGUGGCGGAGAAAAAAGUUUAGAACAAGUGAAUUUCAUUAGUUAUGCAGUUGAUUGAAACUAACAUAACAAGAUGGCAGCAAAAUCCAAUCAACUAAUUUUAAUUGUCCUAAUUAAAAACUUUUUGACGACUGCAUACUAGAUAUAUUGGUUACUUAUACUCGUAUGUAUAUAGUAUGUAUACAUAUAUACAUUAGCAGAAUAUAUUCAAAAUUGAAAACUACUUCAAUUGAAGCUCUUGGUAGGUAUGGUCUAAGUAUGUGCGAAAGCUAAUUAGGCGCAAAACUAAAUAAUUGGUAUACAUAUUUACACAUUGGAUGCUUGCAAAAAAAUAAUUAGGUAAAAAUUGUAUUUGCCUGUCUUAACUGUUAAUUGGAUUCACUACGAAUUCAGGCAACAGUAAAGAACACUUCCUCAAAGCAUGGGUUUAUUGAAGGUUGUACUAGGAAUGGCUUGUAUCAAUCUAAUAUUGAUCUAUAAUUGAAGCAACAAGAGCAAACAAUUGCUUGGAAAACAAAUUUUGUCAAAAUAAAACUCAUAUCUACAUACAUAUAUGACUAUGUAUAAUAAUAGCGUGUCAAUUUCAGAACAAUGAAAUCAGGAAUUUUUGCAUUUGGUUAAUAUUUGCGUAUACAAUUAUGUAUACAUCGGAAACUUUCUAAUAAAUAAUUUUCGCUUUAAUGAGGAUUGUUAUCAUAAAUGUUAUAAUUGGCGAUUGUUGAAAGAGCUUAAUUAGAGUGAAAUGCAAAGUGAGCAUGAAGAUAGGAAAUGAUACUUAAAUGAAUGAUGAGAAAAUGUAUAAAAAAAAAUAA
Long non-coding RNA from Rhagoletis zephyria (snowberry fruit fly), 885 nucleotides. RefSeq lists it as uncharacterized. The record is from RefSeq and is a predicted model, not a curated record. Lineage: Eukaryota; Metazoa; Arthropoda; Insecta; Diptera; Tephritidae.